AGCCCUUAAAAACUGAGACCUCCAUUCGAUUUUUGCCUUAAAUCACAUAUAUGCUUGAGCCACCCUGAUAAAAGAUUGUUAAAAAUGUCAAUAGCAAGGGAAGUUUGGAAUUUUCUUUGGUGUUGGUUUUAUUAGUAAGCUAUAUUUAUUUCCGAAUUUGAUUGAAAUUUGCAUCUGAAAGUUCCAUGCAGGCUGAGACCAAGGUACCAACUCCCGAUCCAACCAAUCGUAGAAAGUAGCACAAGAAAUGUAUUAUUGGAGAGAUCUUUUGGUAGAUCAAAAACGUUAAGUAAGAUUGAAAAAUUCAACUAAGAAGAGGAAGCUAUCAGAAAAUUCAACUAAGAAGAGGAAGCUAUCAGAAAAUUCAACUAAGAAGAGAAAGCUAUGAAAAGAGAAGUGGGAACUUUUAUAUGGAGAACACUAUUUGAAUUGAUUUU
Molecule: long non-coding RNA, 437 nt
Filed under: Capsicum annuum
Lineage: Eukaryota; Viridiplantae; Streptophyta; Magnoliopsida; Solanales; Solanaceae
Description: long non-coding RNA (CANN_LNC016115)
Source: RNAcentral